RNA transcript from Bubalus bubalis (water buffalo), 2459 nucleotides. It is a transcript of the gene named coiled-coil domain containing 112, with no coding region annotated. The transcript has 15 exons. The record is from RefSeq and is a predicted model, not a curated record. NCBI's taxonomy places the organism in Eukaryota, Metazoa, Chordata, Mammalia, Artiodactyla, Bovidae.
CCUCCGUUCCGCGCUCCGGCCCCGCCCUGGUUCCGACCCCGCCUCGCCUCGCCCCGCGGCCCGGCUCCGCCCCGUUUCUCCGUCGCGCUUGGCAUCCCGGUGGAGGAGCCCCGCCGCCCCGGCAGAGCCCGGAUCUCCGCACAACCGAAGCCCUCCACCCCAGACCCGGGUGGCCGCCGCUGGAGCGCGCGGCGCGGCGUGAAAAGAUGGCCGCCCUGACGACGGUCGUGGUGGCGGCGGCUGCCACCGCCGUAGCCGGGGCUGUGGCGGGGGCGGGCGCGGCCCCGGGAACCGGCGUGGGAGCCGCGGUGCCGCAACAGAAUGAUGGCUGUCUCGGUACUUCAGGUGGAAUUCGUCCUUUUCAGCUUCAAAACUGGAAGCAGAAAGUUAGUCGAACUAAGAAAGCAGAAUUCAUACGUACAGCUGAAAAAUAUAAAAAUCAGGUUAUUAAUCUAGAAAAAGACAAACACAGUCAUUUCUACAACCAAAAAAGUGACUUCAGAAUUGAACAUAGUAUGCUGGAAGAAUUGGAAAAUAAACUGAUUAACAGCAGGAAAACAGAAAGAGCAAAAAUCCAGCAACAGUUGGCCAAAAUAUACAACAAUGUAAAGAAACUUCAGCAUCAGUUAAAAGAUGCGAAGCCUACACCUGAUUUUGUUGAAAAGCUCAGAGAAAUGAUGGAGGAAAUUGAAAAUGCAAUUAACACUUUUAAGGAAGAGCAGAGGUUGAUAUAUGAAGAGCUUAUUAAAGAAGAGAAAACAACUAAUAAUGAGUUGAAUGCCAUAUCAAGAAAAAUUGACACAUGGGCUUUGGGUAAUUCAGAAACAGAGAAGGCUUUCAGAGCAGCAUCGAGCAAAGUUCCUGUGGACAAAGUCACACCAAGUGCUCUUCCAGAAGAAGUGGUAGAGUUUGAAACGUUCCUUCAGCAGACGGGAGGGCGCCAGGGGGGCUGGGAUGAUUAUGACCACCAGAACUUUGUGAAGAUGAGAAGCAAGCAUAAAGGGAAGCCAGCGUUCAUGGGAGAAGUUCUGGAGCACCUUCCCGGAAGAACGCAGGAUGAAGUUCAACAGCAUGAGAAAUGGUAUCAAAAAUUUCUGGCCCUGGAAGAAAGAAAAAAAGAGUCUAUUCAGCAUUGGAAAACCAAAAAGCAGCAAAAAAAGGAGGAAAUUUUCAAAUUAAAGGAAAAAGACAGCAUACAAGUACUUUCUCAUAAUAAACAGGAAGAUAAUCAAAAACAAAAAGAAGAACAAAGAAAGAAGCAAAAAUUGGCCAUUGAAGCUUGGAAAAAACAGAGAAGUAUAGAAAUGUCAAUGAAAAACGCCUCCCAGUUAAAAGAGGAGGAAGAGAAAGAGAAAAAACAGCAGAGAGAGCGUCAGCGCCAGUGUAAACUGAAAUUGCUGCUGGAGACUUACACCCAACAGAAGAAAGAACAGGAAGAAUUUUUGAGACUUGAAAAGGAGAUACGGGAAAAGACAGAAAAGGCAGAAAAAAGGAAAACUGCUGCUGAUGAAAUUUCCAGGUUUCAAGAAAGAGAUUUACAUAAACUUGAAUUGAAAAUUCUGAAUAGACAAUUAAAGGAAGAUGAGAAGGCAGAAAAACAAAGAAAACUGGCAAAAUUAAAAGAAAAGGUUGAAAACAAUGUUAGUAGAGAUCCCUCUAGACUUUACAAACCUACCAAAGGUUGGGAAGAACGGACCAAAAAGAUAGGACCAACAGGCUCUGGGCCACUUCUACAUAUCCCACAUAGGGCUAUUCCAACCUGGAGACAAGGAGUUUAGAAAAUAUGGGAUCAUGAAAUUGUCAUUCAGUUGAUGAGAAUGUUAGCAUAUGGAGUUACAGGAGGAGAGAAUGACCAUGUCCUUAAAAUUUUAUUAGCCUCUUCAGAUUGAUUAUUGUGUUGCAUGUGAACUGGCAGUUACAGGCUCGUGGAAAAGAGGUCAGAUAAACAUGGCUUACACUGGAUUAAGAAAUUGAGGAAAAAACACUAAAGGAAAAAUGUUAUAAAGCACCCACAGUUCUACUACUCUAAAGGUUGACUAUUGCAUUUUUCGCACUCUCUGGGCUGGAUAUGUUGGACUCCUUAGAUGUGGUGAACAAGGAUGAUAUAAUAGAGUGGAUUUACUCCCUGCAGGUCCUUCCCACAGAAGACAGUGAGUGCUGACCAAGGUAGGCAUCGUGCCUUGCGACGACUGCUCAGAGGUUGAACGGGGAUUCGCAAUUUGUGCACCGUCCUGCUGUGCAUGUCCACCCUGACAUCUGCUCGACGACUUGUAUUCCACAUUUAUGUUUGGAUCAAAUCUAAAUCGCUGUGGUUUCCGAGGCUCUUCCUAUCUGGGUAUUCCAUUCAAUCCAUCAAAGAAUUCUGGGACUGCUCAUCCUUACGACAGUGGCCACAUAGCAAUGACCUACACGGGCCUUUCAUGCCUAGUUAUUCUUGGAGACGACCUAAGCCGGGUAAA